Molecule: long non-coding RNA, 719 nt
Organism: Suricata suricatta (meerkat)
Lineage: Eukaryota; Metazoa; Chordata; Mammalia; Carnivora; Herpestidae
Exons: 5
Source: RefSeq, a predicted model, not a curated record
CAUAAACACAAGGAGGUUCCAUGGGCUCCAACAUGGAGAGAAAGCUCCUGGGAGCUGAAAUAUAUUCAGAUUCUCGACUUGCUGCAGAAACCUAGCAGAGAGACAACAAGGUAUGACCCUCGAUGCCAGAGCUGGAGAGAAGCCAAGACCCAGGGUCUCUUUGAGCUGAGGGAGGAAGACCAAGGAGGGAGAAGUGGUUAGUUCAGGUUUAUGAAAUGUGUUCUGCCAAGCGCUCCUGCCUCCCACCUCCGCCUGUGGCUGCAGCUGAUGUUGAAGCAUCUCCCUAUCUAUACACCAGGGCUGCAGGCAACAUCUCCAUUUCCUUUGGGGAAGACCUCCUUUGAAUUUGGGGACUAGCCUGAGGUGUGCCGAAGCAGGCUCCUGCCGGUGGAGAGACCCGAUGGAGAUCGAUCAAUCAUGUGCCUCUCCUCUCCACUUCAUGCUCAGUAAUAUUGUGUUGAGCACCCACUGACAGCAUGCCACUGGAAAUACCCCUUUAAAAAAAUCUCUCAGAGGAAUCAGCAGCCUGUGCAAUUAGAAUCUUCUCCAUGCCACUCCCCACCUCUCUGAAAGCUCCAGUGCUAAGUGGGAGCAAAACAAUUGUGAAUUACACAACCUCUUUGGAAGGGCCCCUUUUCUUUUCAGUCCUCAUCGAUCGCCAUUCCCUUAUUAGGAUUAUCUGGUAGACUCCACCGGCUGCAGAAUUACAGUCCGCCUGC